This is a non-coding RNA of Rhopilema esculentum, 581 nucleotides long. NCBI's taxonomy places the organism in Eukaryota, Metazoa, Cnidaria, Scyphozoa, Rhizostomeae, Rhizostomatidae. The record is from RefSeq and is a predicted model, not a curated record.
CCUGUACAAUACCUCGUUAAGAAAAAUGCCCCAGUUAGCCUUCUCUCAAUCAAUUCUCGCUCUAUCUUUAUUGUUUUUCAUUUGCGACAAAUAAAAUAAAGCUUAAUCGCUUGGUGGCAGGCAAACUUAAUCGCCAUUGGCAGUUCAUUCUGUAGCAAGGUCUUAACAACAUGAAGAGGUUUGUGGUGUUCCUUCUAGUCCUACUGUUGAUCGUUGAACAAGGGCAGUGUUUUCUGAAAAGAGCAGUAAGAAGAAGAACUAGAAGUAGCGGCAUUGCAUCAAAUGUUGCGAGCGAAGAAGCAAAGCGCUUACGUCGUGCUGUUGAGGAAUCCCAGAUCUUUGGGGAUUCCAUGGAUUUCGAGGACUUAGAGGAAUUGAUUGAUUCCCCGUCGAGACGACGAGUUAGAUAAAGAUGAGAUGUAGCCGUUUCACUGAUGACUUCACAAAGGAAGUCUUCAUAGCAACUGAUAUCUGUUAUAACGGGUAAAGCAGAGUGCCAAACAACUAAUAUACAGCUUUUUUAUCUUGCCUUGUAAUAUGUACACUAAGCAUUGUUUGCAUUUGGCACAAUAUAAUUAUUU